RNAcentral lists this non-coding RNA (29 nucleotides) under Rattus norvegicus (Norway rat). Lineage: Eukaryota; Metazoa; Chordata; Mammalia; Rodentia; Muridae. The record is from RNAcentral.
UUGUCAAUGGUCCACAAAUGCCAUGGGAU